UGCAUUGUAGCAGACUAGUAGCAAUCUUCAUGAGAUUGUUAGAGAAGCUUGCUAAGUUUCAUACAAAUGCUCACCAACUAAUGACAUGGCUACUGUUUCAGUAUUUUGAAUUAUGCUGUUGCAGUCAUCUUUCACGAGUUUCAGCAUCCACGUGCUGUAGUUUGAAUCUGCUACUUGUGAGUAUAAAACUGACAUCUGAAUUGGUAUUUCUUCAUGCCACCUUCCCUGUUUAUUUAAGGAGAAUAAGCUUUCAGUAGCUGUUGUGAUUAUUGAUUUUAAUUCCUAAUAUCAUAUAUGUAAAAGGUUUAAAUUGACAUGAUAAUUCCAGUUGAAACAUUUAAGUGAUUGUUUUUUUGAGUCAUUUAAUUGACUUGCUUAUUUUGGCCCAAUUGUGUGGCUUUGACCAUUCUAGUUAGUUUGGCUUGAAGAUUUUCAACCUAACAAAGCUAAUCUCAGAUCUGAAAUCAAAAGUGGCAUUAGGUCCAGUAUUUCCUGUUUGAUUGAGCUCAAAUUAGAGCAUUAGUAAACUCCAUAGUUCUUCCUAUCUGUCAUGUCCAUCCUUGUCUAGCUUUAUUAAUUAGGAAUUUUGCUACAUAGUUUACUUAAUGCUAACCAGAUUCAGUUUUUCUUUCAUAUCAAAUUUUGUGUUGUUCAUGAGUUGAUAUGCAACAUGAUGUGUACUUCUUUUUGUCAACUUGGUAAUCAUAUCAGUGCAGGCCUCAUUUGUUUUUAGUUUUGUACAAUAGAUUUGCCUAACAUCUUUUGAUUACAAUCACCGUGAUGAUUAAGUAUCACAAAUCAAGCAUUUGUUAACUGUUUUAGAUUUGUGAUGCUUUAGAUUUUCCUAACAUCGCAGAUAAUUUCACCUGCAACAACUUUCUUAUAGACUGCCAUUUGUGAUGCUUUAGUCAUAUGUUGAGGCUUAUCUUUCUUUUAUUUUAUGAUCAAGGCACAUUUUUUAUUUGUUCAUUCAGGGACAAAGAGACCCGGAGCAUUGAUGCUUCACUUACUUGCUGAAGCUAUUAUAUUAGCCCUUUUUUGUUGAAGCUAUUAUAUUAGCCCUUUACUAGAGAAAAUACCUCUAGUGGUUUCUCAAAUUUGAUUAUUGAAAAGUCUAGUUUAUUACUUGCUCUUCUGGCUUACCACUUAACAUUCUGUAACCUUUCUUGUGAAUUAUUUACAAUUACUAUACAGGAAUUGUGACUUCUGUCAGUCUUUCUGUUAAGAAAGAAAAAAGAGACAUUAUCUC
Molecule: long non-coding RNA, 1249 nt
Filed under: Musa acuminata (dwarf banana)
Lineage: Eukaryota; Viridiplantae; Streptophyta; Magnoliopsida; Zingiberales; Musaceae
Description: long non-coding RNA (MACU_LNC010550)
Source: RNAcentral